This 224-nucleotide unclassified non-coding RNA is filed under the name plant metagenome. RNAcentral's name for it is "partial contains small subunit ribosomal RNA, internal transcribed spacer 1, and 5.8S ribosomal RNA". The record is from RNAcentral.
UCUCCGUUGGUGAACCAGCGGAGGGAUCAUUACAGGACUCGCAAGACUCCUUCACCCUGUGAACCUCACUACAAGCACGUUGCUUCGGCGGGUGUCCCGGCGGGGGUUUUCCCUCGCCGGGGCGCACAGCCCGCCGGCAGCCUACUAUACUCUGUCUCUUUGCGUUGGCAUCUCGAGAAAAAACAAACAAGUUAAAACUUUCAACAACGGAUCUCUUGGUUCUA